RNAcentral lists this ribosomal RNA (253 nucleotides) under uncultured bacterium. Its description in RNAcentral is "partial 16S ribosomal RNA". It matches the Rfam family "Bacterial small subunit ribosomal RNA", at positions 524 to 776 of the family's 1533-position model. The record is from RNAcentral.
UACAGAGGUCUCAAGCGUUGUUCGGAUUCAUUGGGCUUAAAGGGUGCGUAGGCGGCGCGGUAAGUCGGGUGUGAAAUCUCGGAGCUUAACUCCGAAACUGCAUUCGAUACUGCCGUGCUUGAGGACUGGAGAGGAGACUGGAAUUUACGGUGUAGCGGUGAAAUGCGUAGAUAUCGUAAGGAAGACCAGUGGCGAAGGCGGGUCUCUGGACAGUUCCUGACGCUGAGGCACGAAGGCCAGGGGAGCAAACGGG